Molecule: ribosomal RNA, 253 nt
Filed under: uncultured bacterium
Lineage: Bacteria
Description: partial 16S ribosomal RNA
Rfam family: Bacterial small subunit ribosomal RNA
Source: RNAcentral
GACGAACCUUGCAAACGUUAUUCGGAAUUACUGGGCUUAAAGGGUGCGUAGGCGGUGCGGUAAGUUGGGUGUGAAAUCCCUUGGCUUAACCAAGGAAUGGCGCGCAAUACUGCCGUGCUAGAGGGAGACAGAGGUGAGCGGAACUUAGGGUGGAGCGGUGAAAUGCGUUGAUAUCCUAAGGAACACCUGUGGCGAAAGCGGCUCACUGGGUCUCUUCUGACGCUGAUGCACGAAAGCUAGGGGAGCAAACGGG